UGGAAGAAGAUUGACAAAAUUGUGAACAUAUUUUUAGUUCUACAUCAAAAAAGGGUAUAGAGAUAGAAAUGGUACACUUUUAAGACAUGUGUUUAAAGAAGGCACUUGAACAACAGCCUCUGUGGCAAUGGAGCAGACAGUUACCCAGUAUUGACCACUUAAGUGCAUAUGCAAAGACCACCAUCCACAUCCUAUCCUACCCAACCUUUUUUAAAUAUGUGAUUGUGUCAUACUCAGACACUAAAUUUUCCGUUGAGUUGAAAAUAUCAAUAACAGUACAGAUAGUUUAACAACCUGAAACUUCCAAGCAAAUGCUGUUUACAAGUAAAUAAAGUACAUUAUGUAAAGACACUGUAACUGUGAUAAUAUGACUUCUGUUUCCAAGUGAAUGAUGAUGUGGCUUCGUAAUAUUGGCCAAGGACACAACCUUCAGAAAGUAGAUCAUACUAUUUUUCUAAAAAGGAGCAUGGUGCAUAAAUGGAACAGAAAGGACACUGCAAGUCCAGGCUGAUUCAAACCUAGUCUGUACUUAUUUGUGUUCUUGGAUUGAUGUUGACGAAAAGAAGUUUUCUUCUUUUUUUGUUUGUCUUUCUCCUGACAAGUGUCACUUGGCUGACAUGAUUUCAGCCAAGAAACAUCGGAGCACCUCAAAGAAUCACACUUAGAGCUAAAGAGAUGAACAUGGACUAAAAGGCAGAAUUCAAAAUAACCAAUUUGGGUUUUAAAAAAAAAAAAAAAAAAAAAAACUGCAAUCACGGUGUGUUAUUGUCAACAGCCGGGAGCUGUUAAUGUGUGUGAGGGGAUAUAAACAAUGAUGACUGAACAUUUUGGCCUGCCCGCAAGUUAUUAUUCACAUGUAUUUCAUUGUUAUUCUUGUUGACAAGAUCUGGUUUUGAAUAGACUGACAAAUGGAAAAUAGCAGCAAAACUGUUUCUGCUUUGUCAAAAAUAGAAGCAGCAAUCUGCCAAUUAUUUCACAAUCUUGUCCUUUGGCGCAAGAGGCAGUACCUCCCAUUAGCAACAUUGUUCCACUUUGUUAUGUCAUAUUGGUUGAAACACUCUUGCCAGACUGAAGUGCUUUCUUGUCCUGCUGGUUUAUUUUUGGUUCUGAGGUUUCAGCACCUAUCUACAUGGUACACAACGAAGUACACCACCGCUAAACUUCUCUAAGACUGAACUCUUCAUCAUCUGAACCAAGGUCGCAAGAAACCUGUGGCCUCCAAGGAUCAUUGUCUGGCAUUGCCAUCCCUGCAGACAAGGCAUUCGCAGUCCAGACUGUUCUCAUUUGUGGUUCCCCAAUGGUGGAACAAGCUACCAAAUGCUAUCAGAGCAGGCGCGUCCAUCGCUAUCUUAUAACAUAACAAUCUCACAUGCUGUAAAAGCACUUACUAUGCGCACACAAUCACCUUCUUUGAUUUAGCACUUUGCCUUAUUUAAUAGAUACAGUAUUUAAGUCCUGGAGCUUUAGUGUUGUCAUUCAUUUGUAAGUUGCUUUGGAUAAAAGCAUUGGCUAAAUGACUUAAUGUAAAUGUGAAAGAAAAGCAAUGAGCAAUGGGUUUCUUCUUGAAUGCAAAUCUGUUUAGGUUGACUUCAUGCAAUGUCCUUGACACUGUCUGUCACUGAAACACCAAUUUCAGAGGCACUAAUCCAGACAUUUUUAAUGCACUUUCGCAUAAAUAGCAAAUUCUGCAUGGCAUUUUACAAGGACAACCACUGCUUCAGUUUAUUCAGUAACAUACUCAUGCUCUUGUACCCUUCUCCACCUCUCUGAAGUCUCGCAAUCUGGCCUCUGACUUGUUUGGGAAAUUCCUUGCCAGGUCAAAACCGAGAAAGCUGUGGCGUUCAUGGGUUAUUUUAUAACCUUAUUCAUGCAUUUAUCCUUAAUUAGAAACUACCGGUGUAUUUAAAUUUGUUUCUGUUUUAAUGAUAUUGCACUAGGGUGCACUCAGUUUUGUUUUAUGCUGUAUAUACAGAGGCUGAGUACAAUAAUAAAUUAUUACUGUCAUAUUAA
Molecule: long non-coding RNA, 2010 nt
Organism: Lates calcarifer (barramundi perch)
Lineage: Eukaryota; Metazoa; Chordata; Actinopteri; Centropomidae
Exons: 2
Source: RefSeq, a predicted model, not a curated record